UGGGGAAUAUUGGACAAUGGGCGAAAGCCUGAUCCAGCCAUGCCGCGUGUGUGAAGAAGGUCUUCGGAUUGUAAAGCACUUUAAGUUGGGAGGAAGGGCUGCAAGUUAAUACCUUGUAGUUUUGACGUUACCAACAGAAUAAGCACCGGCUAACUUCGUGCCAGCAGCCGCGGUAAUACGAAGGGUGCAAGCGUUAAUCGGAAUUACUGGGCGUAAAGCGCGCGUAGGUGGUUUGGUAAGAUGGAUGUGAAAUCCCCGGGCUCAACCUGGGAACUGCAUCCAGAACUGCCUGACUAGAGUACGGUAGAGGGUGGUGGAAUUUCCUGUGUAGCGGUGAAAUGCGUAGAUAUAGGAAGGAACACCAGUGGCGAAGGCGACCACCUGGACUGAUACUGACACUGAGGUGCGAAAGCGUGGGGAGCAAACA
This 427-nucleotide ribosomal RNA is filed under the name uncultured bacterium. Its description in RNAcentral is "bacterial SSU rRNA". It matches the Rfam family "Bacterial small subunit ribosomal RNA", at positions 355 to 774 of the family's 1533-position model. The record is from RNAcentral.